AUUGAACGCUGGCGGCAUGCCUUACACAUGCAAGUCGAACGGUAACGGGCCUUCGGGUGCCGACGAGUGGCGAACGGGUGAGUAAAGCAUCGGAACGUACCUUUCAGUGGGGGAUAACGUAGCGAAAGUUACGCUAAUACCGCAUAUUCUGUGAGCAGGAAAGCAGGGGAUCGCAAGACCUUGCGCUGAUUGAGCGGCCGAUGUCAGAUUAGCUAGUUGGUGAGGUAAAGGCUCACCAAGGCGACGAUCUGUAGUGGGUCUGAGAGGAUGAUCCGCCACACUGGAACUGAGACACGGUCCAGACUCCUACGGGAGGCAGCAGUGGGGAAUUUUGGACAAUGGGGGCAACCCUGAUCCAGCCAUGCCGCGUGAGUGAAGAAGGCCUUCGGGUUGUAAAGCUCUUUCGGUCGGGAAGAAAUCGCAUGGGUUAAUACCCUGUGCGGAUGACGGUACCGGCAUAAGAAGCACCGGCUAACUACGUGCCAGCCGCCGCAGUAA
RNAcentral lists this ribosomal RNA (498 nucleotides) under uncultured bacterium. Its description in RNAcentral is "partial 16S ribosomal RNA". It matches the Rfam family "Bacterial small subunit ribosomal RNA", at positions 30 to 523 of the family's 1533-position model. The record is from RNAcentral.